RNAcentral lists this long non-coding RNA (433 nucleotides) under Pan troglodytes (chimpanzee). Its description in RNAcentral is "long non-coding RNA NONPTRT013337". Lineage: Eukaryota; Metazoa; Chordata; Mammalia; Primates; Hominidae. The record is from RNAcentral.
AAAAAAAGGCCUGAGGAAAGGAAAGAAUGGUCUCCCUCACACAGAUAGGCCAGAAUACUCGCAUGGUAUAAGGAUGCGCAAGUUUAGCACUUGGACACUACACAUUGAUGUCUGAAGUCCGGUGAUUCUAAGGCCAUGAAGACGGCUUCUGAAUUGCCACCCUCACUGAGUCUUUAAUUUGACGGACGAUUUGGCAUGUUUUCAAAGCCCAGAGGAACGUCAUUGCCAAGACACCACUCUCCUGACUCCACACAGCUGAUCUCAGCUUCGCAUCAUUUCAUUUGAUCUUCUUACUUCCUCAAGUUACCGAGAGACAAACUGUUUUUAGAAGAAUUAAUUUACAUUAAGGGGUUAAAUCCUGGGUAUAUUCUCAGGAAUGAUUACUGGGUCAUACAGUCGUUCUGUUUUUAGUUUUUGAGGAACUUCCAGACUA